GUAGAGAGAGGACACGUCAAGUAGGCACCUCCUGAANNCUUGAACUCCAGUCUACGUGUUUGNAGGCGACACUAGUCUGUUGCUGGAACUUUUUGUCAAGAAGACCAGCAGCCACAUUAGACUAACAAUUGGUGUAAUGUGGUUCACAGAUCAAACACUAGUGACUCAUAAGUUCACAACCACAUAUUCGCCCUCAAAGGCUCGGCCUUCGGGCACUCAUCGGUUUGUUGCAUGCCAUUGCCACUCCGUGAGAGAUCGCUACGUGAAGAUUUUCUGAUACGUGUGAUCACAGACUCGUCUAUUCUACGGUUCUUUCCUGAAAGUCGUGUUUGAGAUGUGUGUUGUGAGCUCUUUUGAGGUAAAAUAUGACCGGCCUCAUCUAGACAUAGAUGAGCUUCGGUGUUCCGUAGGUGAACCUGCGGAAGGAUCAUUAAAGAGUUCAGGGUGUCAAAGCCCGACCCUCAACCCGAUGCGUACCCGUCCUUGUUGCUUUGGCGGGCCGGUCGAAGGACCUUUCCCGGUGGCUUCGUGGUCGCUGAGAGCCCGUCAGAGACCCAUCCAAACCUCUCAACUGUGCAGUCCGAGUACCAAAACAAAUCAUCAAAACUUUCAACAACGGAUCUCUUGGUUCUGGCAUCGAUGAAGAACGCAGCGAAAUGCGAUAAGUAAUGUGAAUUGCAGAAUUCAGUGAAUCAUCGAAUCUUUGAACGCACAUUGCGCCUCUCGGUAUUCCGGGGGGCAUGCCUGUUCGAGCGUCAUUGCACCACUCAAGCUUGGCUUGGUUCUGGGCGUUCGUCCCCCGUGGACGUGCCUGAAAAUCAGCGGCGACGCGGCCCGACUCCAAGCGGCAUUGGUUCUCUUUCGCUUUGGAAGCUUCGGGCUCGAGUCCGCCGGACAAACGGUUAUGUCUCCACAAGGUUGACCUCGGAUCAGGCAGGGUUACCCGCUGAACUUAAGCAUAUCAAUAAGCGGAGGAAAAGAAACCAACCGGGAUUGCCUCAGUAACGGCGAGUGAAGCGGCAACAGCUCAAAUUUGAAAUCUGACCCCGUCGGGGCCCGAGUUGUAAUUUGCAGAGGAUGCUUCGGGCAUGGAUUCGGUCUGAGUUCCUUGGAACAGGACGCCGCAGAGGGUGAGAGCCCCGUAUGUGACCGGCCCCCGUGCCUGUGCGAAGCUCCUUCGACGAGUCGAGUUGUUUGGGAAUGCAGCUCCAAAUGGGUGGUAAAUUUCAUCUAAAGCUAAAUAUUGGCCAGAGACCGAUAGCGCACAAGUAGAGUGAUCGAAAGAUGAAAAGCACUUUGGAAAGAGAGUCAAACAGUACGUGAAAUUGUUGAAAGGGAAGCGCUUGCAACCAGACUUGCCUGCGGGCGAUCAGCCGGCAUUCGUUGCCGGUGCACUCGCCCGCAGUCGGGCCAGCAUCGGUCCGGGCGGCUGGACAAAGUCCCCCGGAAUGUGACUUCCCCCGGGGAGUGUUAUAGCCGGAGGUGCCAUGCAGCCCGCCUGGACCGAGGACCGCGCUUCGGCUAGGAUGCUGGCGUAAUGGUCGCAAGCGACCCGUCU
This 1558-nucleotide small RNA is filed under the name Acarospora macrospora. Its description in RNAcentral is "eukaryotic LSU rRNA". The stretch from base 920 to 1558 matches the Rfam family "Eukaryotic large subunit ribosomal RNA", at positions 1 to 654 of the family's 3401-position model. Lineage: Eukaryota; Fungi; Ascomycota; Lecanoromycetes; Acarosporales; Acarosporaceae. The record is from RNAcentral.